Molecule: ribosomal RNA, 223 nt
Filed under: Shigella flexneri
Lineage: Bacteria; Pseudomonadati; Pseudomonadota; Gammaproteobacteria; Enterobacterales; Enterobacteriaceae
Description: partial 16S ribosomal RNA
Rfam family: Bacterial small subunit ribosomal RNA
Source: RNAcentral
CCCCUGGACGAAGACUGACGCUCAGGUGCGAAAGCGUGGGGAGCAAACAGGAUUAGAUACCCUGGUAGUCCACGCCGUAAACGAUGUCGACUUGGAGGUUGUGCCCUUGAAGUGUGGCUUCCGGAGCUAACGCGUUAAGUCGACCGCCUGGGGAGUACGGCCGCAAGGUUAAAACUCAAAUGAAUUGACGGGGGCCCGCACAAGCGGUGGAGCAUGUGGUUUA